This 1631-nucleotide small RNA is filed under the name Drosophila pseudoobscura pseudoobscura. Its description in RNAcentral is "GA30835". The record is from RNAcentral. Lineage: Eukaryota; Metazoa; Arthropoda; Insecta; Diptera; Drosophilidae.
AUUUGUCACGGCCCUAACACAAUCAGGCAAAAACGAAGCUCUGGGGCACAGAACGUGCGGAACAAGGGCCGAAGAUAGGUCGAAAUAUUUGCCCAGGCAUUCGGUAUGGUAUCGACUUGGAGGUACUAUUAUGGUUUUGUGGUAAUCGUCUGCAUUGCCAGUCUUCUGCCGCUCCUAGACUGUGCCGUUCACCACUGUCCGCCCUGGCCAAGAUGUACCUACCUCAAGCUGUGCUGCCAGCGAACCCAUAACGAGGGGAGUACGCAGCUGGUUUGGUCUGAAGAGGAGGAAUACGAUCCCGAAACAGAGUUCAAAUAUACCCAAAGCUGGUAAAAGCUGAAAUAUAACGAGUGUGUGGAAGGGUGAUGGGGGGGGGGCUAGAACCCGGGACUUUGAGGCGUCAGAAGUCUUGGCUUUUCAGCACGGUUCGGGCCUGGAACAAACCGAUUCCCGAAAGCCGUUCCGCACUCUUCAAAACUUUGGUGUGGCCUCUAGGGUAAGCCUCUACGUGGAAUACAAUGAUUGCCGGCUGGAAGUGCUUGUUGCUCGCCCUAUUGGUGGGGUUGGCCCUGCUCCCCACCCCCUCGCGGGCAUCUAUGGACGAGUACAUACCGCAGCUGUGUCUGCCCUGGCCCAAAUGUCACAGGGUCAAGAAAUGCUGCCAGCGCUCGGACUCGGAGACCGUGGAAGAGAAUCUGUAAGAGUCUAACGAAUAAAAGACUGUUGCCUGACUUUUGCAUGGCCACGAAACGAGGUCCUUGAGAGACGAAGACGAUGACUCCUGUCUGUGUGUGCUGGCGGCCCUGUGUUAAUUGUGCCGCAUGCACGUUGCAUGUGGCAGCCUGUCAGAGUGGCAGCUAAUUUUUGCUAGCUGUCGACGUUGCUCUUCAUAUAAAUCUUUCAAAGUCAACAGCAUUGCACCCACGUGCCACAUCAAUUCGCAUUCUUGUCUGUCGCAGGCAGGCAGGCAGGCACUCUCCCAUCUCCCAUAGACGUAUCCAUCAUUCUGCAAUCGUCAGUGGUGUCGCCGCAUGCAACGUCGCUUAUCGCUCAGCUCUGUAAUGAUGGCAGCAGACCCCAAAAGAGGCCCCCCCAGCCCCCAGCCCCCAUGUAGCAGCCAUCCAUCUGCACGAACUUCUGUUGUACAUUUUUCAUAACGCAAUUCAUGUUAUUCAUGUGGCAGCGACAAGUCUUCGGGGGGCACAGUGGUGGGAGAUGGAUGGAAAAAGGGGGAAUCUGUAGACCCUAAAGGAAUGAGUAGAGGCUCUGCAUGGACUCCCCUACUCCCCCUUGUGGCUCCACUGUUCGUCGUCAUAAAAAUUGUCUCAUUAAUCAUCACACGACACGCCGAAGCCCGCGUAGGGGAAACAUGGAUUUAGUGUGAAAAUCCAGCCAGCAAUUAAAUUGGCUCCCCCUCGGCAGCAGCAUCGAUGCAGGCCCCCACUCCCAGCCCUCGACGAACAAGUGCAGGGAGCAUAAAUCAAAGGAGGGCCCCUCAGCAUUGGAAAAUGGGAUUCCAGGGCCGUGGCAUUUUAAAUUGUCUGCGCCAUAUUUAAAAUAGCAACUAAUUAAUUUAUUUUUUCACGCCCAGACUGGGAAGUGCGCAUUAAUAAACAAUUAAGUCGUUUUAA